AUGAACGCUGGCGGCGUGCCUAAUACAUGCCAGUCGAGCGAACAGACGAGGAGCUUGCUCCUCUGACGUUAGCGGCGGACGGGUGAGUAACACGUGGCUAACCUACCUAUAAGACUGGGAUAACUUCGGGAAACCGGAGCUAAUACCGGAUAAUAUAUUGAACCGCAUGGUUCAAUAGUGAAAGACGGUUUUGCUGUCACUUAUAGAUGGAUCCGCGCCGCAUUAGCUAGUUGGUAAGGUAACGGCUUACCAAGGCAACGAUGCGUAGCCGACCUGAGAGGGUGAUCGGCCACACUGGAACUGAGACACGGUCCAGACUCCUACGGGAGGCAGCAGUAGGGAAUCUUCCGCAAUGGGCGAAAGCCUGACGGAGCAACGCCGCGUGAGUGAUGAAGGUCUUCGGAUCGUAAAACUCUGUUAUUAGGGAAGAACAAAUGUGUAAGUAACUAUGCACGUCUUGACGGUACCUAAUCAGAAAGCCACGGCUAACUACGUG
This 496-nucleotide ribosomal RNA is filed under the name uncultured bacterium. RNAcentral describes it as "partial 16S ribosomal RNA". It matches the Rfam family "Bacterial small subunit ribosomal RNA", at positions 29 to 507 of the family's 1533-position model. The record is from RNAcentral.